This 253-nucleotide ribosomal RNA is filed under the name uncultured bacterium. RNAcentral describes it as "partial 16S ribosomal RNA". It matches the Rfam family "Bacterial small subunit ribosomal RNA", at positions 524 to 776 of the family's 1533-position model. The record is from RNAcentral.
UACGUAGGUGGCAAGCGUUGUCCGGAUUUACUGGGCGUAAAGAGCGCGCAGGCGGUUGUGCAAGUCGCGUGUGAAAGCCCCCGGCUCAACUGGGGAGGGUCACGCGAUACUGAUCGACUCGAAGGCAGGAGAGGGUAGUGGAAUUCCCGGUGUAGUGGUGAAAUGCGUAGAUAUCGGGAGGAACACCAGUGGCGAAGGCGACUACCUGGCCUGUUCUUGACGCUGAGGCGCGAAAGCUAGGGGAGCAAACGGG